This 515-nucleotide ribosomal RNA is filed under the name uncultured bacterium. RNAcentral describes it as "partial 16S ribosomal RNA". It matches the Rfam family "Bacterial small subunit ribosomal RNA", at positions 28 to 523 of the family's 1533-position model. The record is from RNAcentral.
GAUGAACGCUGGCGGCGUGCCUAAUACAUGCAAGUCGAGCGAAUGGAUUAAGAGCUUGCUCUUAUGAAGUUAGCGGCGGACGGGUGGGUAACACGUGGGUAACCUGCCCAUAAGACUGGGAUAACUCCGGGAAACCGGGGCUAAUACCGGAUAACAUUUUGAACCGCAUGGUUCGAAAUUGAAAGGCGGCUUCGGCUGUCACUUAUGGAUGGACCCGCGUCGCAUUAGCUAGUUGGUGAGGUAACGGCUCACCAAGGCAACGAUGCGUAGCCGACCUGAGAGGGUGAUCGGCCACACUGGGACUGAGACACGGCCCAGACUCCUACGGGAGGCAGCAGUAGGGAAUCUUCCGCAAUGGACGAAAGUCUGACGGAGCAACGCCGCGUGAGUGAUGAAGGCUUUCGGGUCGUAAAACUCUGUUGUUAGGGAAGAACAAGUGCUAGUUGAAUAAACUGGCACCUUGACGGUACCUAACCAGAAAGCCACGGCUAACUACGUGCCAGCAGCCGCGGUAG